GACGAACCGAGCGAACGUUGUUCGGAAUCACUGGGCUUAAAGGGCGCGUAGGCGGGCUGUCAAGUCUGGGGUGAAAUCCCGCGGCUCAACCGUGGAACUGCCUCAGAUACUGACGGUCUCGAGGGAGGUAGGGGCGAGCGGAACUGAUGGUGGAGCGGUGAAAUGCGUUGAUAUCAUCAGGAACUCCGGUGGCGAAGGCGGCUCGCUGGACCUCUUCUGACGCUGAGGCACGAAAGCGUGGGGAGCAAACAGG
RNAcentral lists this ribosomal RNA (253 nucleotides) under uncultured bacterium. Its description in RNAcentral is "partial 16S ribosomal RNA". It matches the Rfam family "Bacterial small subunit ribosomal RNA", at positions 524 to 776 of the family's 1533-position model. The record is from RNAcentral.